This 388-nucleotide ribosomal RNA is filed under the name uncultured eukaryote. Its description in RNAcentral is "partial 18S ribosomal RNA". It matches the Rfam family "Eukaryotic small subunit ribosomal RNA", at positions 592 to 976 of the family's 1831-position model. The record is from RNAcentral.
CAAUAGCGUAUAUUAGAGUUGUUGCAGUUAAAAAGCUCGUAGUUGGAUUUCUGAUCGAGACAUCAGGUCGGGUCCGAGAGGAUCAUGUACUUUGAUUUUGUUUUGAUCAUCCUUGGGGAGAGCAUUUCUGGCAUUCAGUUGUCGGGAUUGGGAUCCUCAUCGUUUACUGUGAAAAAAUUAGAGUGUUCAAAGCAGGCCUCGGCCUCUGAAUACAUUAGCAUGGAAUAAUAAGAUAGGACUUUGGUGGUCUAUUUUGUUGGUUUGCACGCCAAAGUAAUGAUUAAUAGGGAUAGUUGGGGGUAUUCGUAUUCAAUUGUCAGAGGUGAAAUUCUUGGAUUUAUGGAAGACGAACUACUGCGAAAGCAUUUACCAAGGAUGUUUUCAUUAA